UACGUAGGGUGCGAGCGUUGUCCGGAAUUAUUGGGCGUAAAGGGCUCGUAGGCGGUUUGUCGCGUCGGGAGUGAAAACUCAGGGCUUAACCCUGAGCCUGCUUUCGAUACGGGCAGACUAGAGGUAUGCAGGGGAGAACGGAAUUCCUGGUGUAGCGGUGAAAUGCGCAGAUAUCAGGAGGAACACCGGUGGCGAAGGCGGUUCUCUGGGCAUGACCUGACGCUGAGGAGCGAAAGUGUGGGGAGCGAACAGG
RNAcentral lists this ribosomal RNA (253 nucleotides) under uncultured bacterium. Its description in RNAcentral is "partial 16S ribosomal RNA". It matches the Rfam family "Bacterial small subunit ribosomal RNA", at positions 524 to 776 of the family's 1533-position model. The record is from RNAcentral.